AAUGAACGUUGGCGGCGUGGAUUAGGCAUGCAAGUCGAGCGGUAGAGAACUGCUCACUCAUGCUCUCUCAUAAGGCGGCCUGGGCGAAAGCCCCGGUUAUGGUGAGAGGGCUGAGCGAGCAGUUCUCGAGAGCGGCGAAAGGGAGAGUAACGCGUAGUUACGUACCCCGAGGCCCGGAAUAGCCACGGGAAACUGUGGGUAAUGCCGGAUAAUAUCUUAGGAUCAAAGAUGUGAUUUCACCUUGGGAGCGGACUGCGUCGUACUAGCUUGUUGGUGGGGUAAUGGCCUACCAAGGCGAUGAUGCGUAGCGGGUGUGAGAGCAUGACCCGUCUCACUGGGACUGAGACACUGCCCAGACACCUACGGGUGGCUGCAGUCGAGAAUCUUCGGCAAUGGACGAAAGUCUGACCGAGCGACGCCGCGUGCGGGAUGAAGGCCUUCGGGUUGUAAACCGCGAAAGUAGGGAGGAAGGCUUCGUGAAGAACGAGGUUUGACCGAUCUACAGUAAGGACGGGCUAAGUACGUGCCAGCAGC
RNAcentral lists this ribosomal RNA (534 nucleotides) under uncultured bacterium. RNAcentral describes it as "bacterial SSU rRNA". It matches the Rfam family "Bacterial small subunit ribosomal RNA", at positions 29 to 515 of the family's 1533-position model. The record is from RNAcentral.